AGUAACACGUGGAUAACCUACCUAUAAGACUGGGAUAACUUCGGGAAACCGGAGCUAAUACCUGAUAAUAUUUUGAACCGCAUGGUUCAAAAGUGAAAGACGGUCUUGCUGUCACUUAUAGAUGGAUCCGCGCUGCAUUAGCUAGUUGGUAAGGUAACGGCUUACCAAGGCAACGAUGCAUAGCCGACCUGAGAGGGUGAUCGGCCACACUGGAACUGAGACACGGUCCAGACUCCUACGGGAGGCAGCAGUC
RNAcentral lists this ribosomal RNA (253 nucleotides) under uncultured Staphylococcus sp. RNAcentral's name for it is "partial 16S ribosomal RNA". It matches the Rfam family "Bacterial small subunit ribosomal RNA", at positions 109 to 355 of the family's 1533-position model. The record is from RNAcentral. Lineage: Bacteria; Bacillati; Bacillota; Bacilli; Caryophanales; Staphylococcaceae.